RNAcentral lists this ribosomal RNA (497 nucleotides) under uncultured bacterium. Its description in RNAcentral is "partial 16S ribosomal RNA". It matches the Rfam family "Bacterial small subunit ribosomal RNA", at positions 28 to 507 of the family's 1533-position model. The record is from RNAcentral.
GAUGAACGCUGGCGGCGUGCCUAAUACAUGCAAGUCGAGCGAACGGACGAGAAGCUUGCUUUUCUGAUGUUAGCGGCGGACGGGUGAGUAACACGUGGAUAACCUACCUAUAAGACUGGGAUAACUUCGGGAAACCGGAGCUAAUACCGGAUAAUAUUUUGAACCGCAUGGUUCAAAAGUGAAAGACGGUCUUGCUGUCACUUAUAGAUGGAUCCGCGCUGCAUUAGCUAGUUGGUAAGGUAACGGCUUACCAAGGCAACGAUGCAUAGCCGACCUGAGAGGGUCAUCGGCGACACAGGUACUCAGAAACAGUACAAAAACCUACGGCAGGAGCAAGAAGGGAAUCUUCAGCAAUGAGCCAAAGCCUGCCGGCACAACGCCGCGUAAGAGAUGCAGAACUUCGGAUCGUAAAACUCUGUUAUUAGGGAAGAACAUAUGUGUAAGCAACUGUGCACAUCUUGACGGUACCUACUCAGAAAGCCACGGCUAACUCCGUG